Molecule: ribosomal RNA, 433 nt
Filed under: uncultured bacterium
Lineage: Bacteria
Description: partial 16S ribosomal RNA
Rfam family: Bacterial small subunit ribosomal RNA
Source: RNAcentral
AACGAACGCUGGCGGCAUGCCUAACACAUGCAAGUCGAACGAGACCUUCGGGUCUAGUGGCGCACGGGUGCGUAACGCGUGGGAACCUGCCCUUAGGUUCGGAAUAACUCCCCGAAAGGGGUGCUAAUACCGGAUAAUGUCUUCGGACCAAAGAUUUAUCGCCUUUGGAUGGGCCCGCGUUGGAUUUGCUAGUUGGUAGGGUAAAAGCCUACCAAGGCGACGAUCCAUAGCUGGUCUGAGAGGAUGAUCAGCCACACUGGGACUGAGACACGGCCCAGACUCCUACGGGAGGCAGCAGUGGGGAAUAUUGGACAAGGGGCGAAAGCCUGAUCCAGCAAUGCCGCGUGAGUGAUGAAGGCCUUAGGGUUGUAAAGCUCUUUUACCCGGGAUGAUAAUGACAGUACCGGGAGAAUAAGCUCCGGCUAACUCCGUG